RNAcentral lists this ribosomal RNA (2906 nucleotides) under Providencia sp. PROV188. Its description in RNAcentral is "23S ribosomal RNA". It matches the Rfam family "Bacterial large subunit ribosomal RNA". Lineage: Bacteria; Pseudomonadati; Pseudomonadota; Gammaproteobacteria; Enterobacterales; Morganellaceae. The record is from RNAcentral.
GGUUAAGCGACUAAGCGUACACGGUGGAUGCCUAGGCAAUCAGAGGCGAUGAAGGACGUGCUAAUCUGCGAUAAGCGUCGGUAAGGUGAUAUGAACCGUUACAACCGACGAUUUCCGAAUGGGGAAACCCAGUGCAAUUCGUUGCACUAUCGUUUGAUGAAUACAUAGUCAAACGAAGCGAACCGAGGGAACUGAAACAUCUCAGUACCUCGAGGAAAAGAAAUCAACCGAGAUUCCCCUAGUAGCGGCGAGCGAACGGGGAGCAGCCCAGAGUCUUAAUCAGCAUUAGCAUCAGGAGAACGGUCUGGAAAGGCCGGCAGUAAAGGGUGAUAGCCCCGUAUCCGAAGGUGUUAGUGUUGUGAACUCGACGAGUAGGGCGGGACACGUGUUAUCCUGUCUGAAUAUGGGGGGACCAUCCUCCAAGGCUAAAUACUCCUGAUUGACCGAUAGUGAACCAGUACCGUGAGGGAAAGGCGAAAAGAACCCCGGCGAGGGGAGUGAAAUAGAACCUGAAACCGUGUACGUACAAGCAGUGGGAGCACCUUUAUGGUGUGACUGCGUACCUUUUGUAUAAUGGGUCAGCGACUUAUAUUCUGUAGCAAGGUUAACCGUAUAGGGGAGCCGUAGGGAAACCGAGUCUUAACUGGGCGAAUGAGUUGCAGGGUAUAGACCCGAAACCCGGUGAUCUAGCCAUGGGCAGGUUGAAGGUUGGGUAACACUAACUGGAGGACCGAACCGACUAAUGUUGAAAAAUUAGCGGAUGACUUGUGGCUGGGGGUGAAAGGCCAAUCAAACCGGGAGAUAGCUGGUUCUCCCCGAAAGCUAUUUAGGUAGCGCCUCGUGAACUCAUCUUCGGGGGUAGAGCACUGUUUCGACUAGGGGGUCAUCCCGACUUACCAACUCGAUGCAAACUACGAAUACCGAAGAAUGUUAUCACGGGAGACACACGGCGGGUGCUAACGUUCGUCGUGAAGAGGGAAACAACCCAGACCGCCAGCUAAGGUCCCAAAGUCAUAGUUAAGUGGGAAACGAAGUGGGAAGGCUCAGACAGCCAGGAUGUUGGCUUAGAAGCAGCCAUCAUUUAAAGAAAGCGUAAUAGCUCACUGGUCGAGUCGGCCUGCGCGGAAGAUGUAACGGGGCUAAACUAUGCACCGAAGCUGCGGCAGCGAUAUGUAAAUAUUGUUGGGUAGGGGAGCGUUCUGUAAGCCUGUGAAGGUGUACUGUGAGGUAUGCUGGAGGUAUCAGAAGUGCGAAUGCUGACAUAAGUAACGAUAAUGCGGGUGAAAAACCCGCACGCCGGAAGACCAAGGGUUCCUGUCCAACGUUAAUCGGGGCAGGGUGAGUCGACCCCUAAGGCGAGGCAGAAAUGCGUAGUCGAUGGGAAACGGGUUAAUAUUCCCGUACUGGUGAUAAUUGCGAUGGGGGGACGGAGAAGGUUAGGCUGGCCGGGCGACGGUUGUCCCGGUUUAAGGAUGUAGGCAGGUGAAUUAGGCAAAUCCGGUUCACUAUAUGCUGAGGUCUGAUGACGAGUCACUACGGUGGCGAAGUAGCUCAUACCCCGCUUCCAGGAAAAGCCUCUAAGCUCUAGAUUAUCAUUAAUCGUACCCCAAACCGACACAGGUGGUCAGGUAGAGAAUACUCAGGCGCUUGAGAGAACUCGGGUGAAGGAACUAGGCAAAAUGGUGCCGUAACUUCGGGAGAAGGCACGCUGGCAUUAGGUGAAGUGAUUUACUCAUGGAGCUGAAGCCAGUCGCAGAUACCAGCUGGCUGCAACUGUUUAUUAAAAACACAGCACUGUGCAAACACGAAAGUGGACGUAUACGGUGUGACGCCUGCCCGGUGCUGGAAGGUUAAUUGAUGGGGUUAUCCGUAAGGAGAAGCUCUUGAUCGAAGCCCCAGUAAACGGCGGCCGUAACUAUAACGGUCCUAAGGUAGCGAAAUUCCUUGUCGGGUAAGUUCCGACCUGCACGAAUGGCGUAAUGAUGGCCAGGCUGUCUCCACCCGAGACUCAGUGAAAUUGAACUCGCUGUGAAGAUGCAGUGUACCCGCGGCAAGACGGAAAGACCCCGUGAACCUUUACUAUAGCUUGACACUGAACAUUGAGCCUUGAUGUGUAGGAUAGGUGGGAGGCUUUGAAGCGUGGACGCCAGUCUGCGUGGAGCCAACCUUGAAAUACCACCCUUUAAUGUUUGAUGUUCUAACGUAGCCCCGUAAUCCGGGGUGCGGACAGUGUCUGGUGGGUAGUUUGACUGGGGCGGUCUCCUCCCAAAGAGUAACGGAGGAGCACGAAGGUUGGCUAAGCAUGGUCGGACAUCAUGCGGUUAGUGCAAAGGCAUAAGCCAGCUUGACUGCGAGAGUGACGGCUCGAGCAGGUACGAAAGUAGGUCUUAGUGAUCCGGUGGUUCUGUAUGGAAGGGCCAUCGCUCAACGGAUAAAAGGUACUCCGGGGAUAACAGGCUGAUACCGCCCAAGAGUUCAUAUCGACGGCGGUGUUUGGCACCUCGAUGUCGGCUCAUCACAUCCUGGGGCUGAAGUAGGUCCCAAGGGUACGGCUGUUCGCCGUUUAAAGUGGUACGCGAGCUGGGUUUAGAACGUCGUGAGACAGUUCGGUCCCUAUCUGCCGUGGGCGUUGGAAGAUUGAAAGGGGCUGCUCCUAGUACGAGAGGACCGGAGUGGACGCACCACUGGUGUUCGGGUUGUCAUGCCAAUGGCAUUGCCCGGUAGCUAAGUGCGGAAGAGAUAACCGCUGAAAGCAUCUAAGCGGGAAACUUGCCUUGAGAUGAGUCUUCCCUGACUCUUUAAGGGUCCUAAAGGAACGUUUAAGACUAAGACGUUGAUAGGUUGGGUGUGUAAGCGUAGCGAUACGUUGAGCUAACCAAUACUAAUGAACCGUGAGGCUUAACCUG